Molecule: ribosomal RNA, 860 nt
Filed under: uncultured bacterium
Lineage: Bacteria
Description: bacterial SSU rRNA
Rfam family: Bacterial small subunit ribosomal RNA
Source: RNAcentral
CAAGUCGAGGGGUAAAUAUUGUAGCAAUACGAUAUGAGACCGGCGCACGGGUGCGUAACACGUAUGCAACCUACCUUUUACUGGGGUAUAGCUCCGAGAAAUCGGAAUUAAUCCCCCAUAACACUGCGAUGAGGCAUCUCGAUGCAGUUAAAGCUCCGGCGGUAAAAGAUGGGCAUGCGGUACAUUAGCUAGUUGGUGAGGUAAUGGCUCACCAAGGCUACGAUGUAUAGGGGGUCUGAGAGGAUGAUCCCCCACACUGGUACUGAGACACGGACCAGACUCCUACGGGAGGCAGCAGUAGGGAAUAUUGGUCAAUGGACGCAAGUCUGAACCAGCCAUGCCGCGUGCAGGAUGACAGCCCUAUGGGUCGUAAACUGCUUUUAUAAGGGAAGAAACCCCUGGAUGCGUCCGGGGCUGACGGUACUUUAUGAAUAAGGAUCGGCUAACUUCGUGCCAGCAGCCGCGGUAAGACGAAGGAUCCAAGCGUUGUCCGGAUUUACUGGGUUUAAAGGGUGCGUAGGCGGAGUGCUAAGUCAGUGGUGAAAGCCCGCAGCUCAACUGCGGAACUGCCAUUGAAACUGGCACUCUUGAAUACGGUGGAGGUAGAUGGAAUAUAACAUGUAGCGGUGAAAUGCUUAGAUAUGUUAUAGAACACCGAUUGCGAAGGCAGUCUGCUACACCGUGAUUGACGCUGAGGCACGAAAGCGUGGGGAGCAAACAGGAUUAGAUACCCUGGUAGUCCACGCCCUAAACGUUGAUUACUCGCUGUUGGCGAUACACUGUCAGCGGCUAAGCGAAAGCGUUAAGUAAUCCACCUGGGAAGUACGUCCGCAAGGAUGAAACUCAAAGGAAUUGACGGG